AGGCAUGCAAUCCUAAGGACCUGUGCUUGGUUGUAGUGCUGGUUCUCCAAGUGCAUGCUAGAAAAUUGGGUGGUCUUUGACUGUUGUGGCCUUUUGUGCCAUAAGCAGCCACUCAACUGUCCAACAGAA
This 129-nucleotide small nucleolar RNA is filed under the name Neogobius melanostomus (round goby). RNAcentral's name for it is "Small nucleolar RNA SNORA44 (ENSNMLG00000003553.1)". It matches the Rfam family "Small nucleolar RNA SNORA44". Rfam says of the family: ACA44 is a member of the H/ACA class of snoRNA that guide the sites of modification of uridines to pseudouridines. Lineage: Eukaryota; Metazoa; Chordata; Actinopteri; Gobiiformes; Gobiidae. The record is from Rfam by way of RNAcentral.